GUGGGACUUUUCUCCAGAGUCUCCAUCUAGUGGGACUCUUCACCAGAGCCCCUUAUCCACUGAGACUCUUUAGAUUAGCCAUAUGAUCGAAGGAAAACUUCUAAUAUGUGUGACCCCAUAGGUUCGAAUCUAAGUUGGUAGUAUAGGAACUGAUUCCUGUACCAAUCGGAGUAACCAUCUAGUAAUGGUAUCCGACGUCCGGAUAGGUCG
This 210-nucleotide long non-coding RNA is filed under the name Elaeis guineensis (African oil palm). RNAcentral's name for it is "long non-coding RNA (EGUI_LNC077328)". The record is from RNAcentral. Lineage: Eukaryota; Viridiplantae; Streptophyta; Magnoliopsida; Arecales; Arecaceae.